Molecule: ribosomal RNA, 319 nt
Filed under: uncultured eukaryote
Lineage: Eukaryota
Description: partial 18S ribosomal RNA
Rfam family: Eukaryotic small subunit ribosomal RNA
Source: RNAcentral
CCCUUAGAUGUUCUGGGCAGCACGCGCGCUACAAUGGUCUUCGCAAACGGAUGCAUUCUCGAAGGAGAAUGCCAAUCUUGGAAUCUAUGCCUUGGUCGGGACCGUUGCUUGCAAUUUUUCGACUCGAACCAGGAAUUCCUUGUAAUCGUGAUUCAUCACAUCACGAUGAAUACGUCCCUGCCCUUUGUACACACCGCCCGUCGCUCCUACCGAUCGAAGAGUUAGGUGAAUUGUUUUGAUCGAUAAGAUUUGACUAUGGUCAACUCUCGUUGUGAAAUUCUGUGAAUCUGACUGUUUAGAGGAAGGAAAAGUCGUAACA